AGCAGCCGCGGUAAUUCCAGCUCCAAUAGCGUAUAUUAAAGUUGUUGCAGUUAAAAAGCUCGUAGUUGAAUUUCGGGAUCAAAUUGUCGGUCGUGCCUCGGUACGUACUGGUAUUAUUGGUUCCUCCCUUCUGACGAACCACGAUGUCAUUAAUUUGGUGUCAUGGGAAAUCAGGACUGUUACUUUGAAAAAAUUAGAGUGUUUAAAGCAGGCUCGCGCUUGAAUACAUUAGCAUGGAAUAAUGAAAUAGGACGUUUGAUUCUAUUUUGUUGGUUUCUAGGAUCGACGUAAUGAUUAAUAGGGAUAGUUGGGGGCAUUAGUAUUCAAUUGUCAGAGGUGAAAUUCUUGGAUUUAUUGAAGACUAACUACUGCGAAAGCAUUUGCCAAGGAUGUUUUCAUUAAUCAAGAACGAAAGUUAGGGGAUCGAAGACGAUCAGAUACCGUCGUAGUCUUAACCAUAAACUAUGCCGACUAGGGAUCGGAUGAUGUUAAUUUUUUUAAUGACUCAUUCGGCGCCUUA
RNAcentral lists this ribosomal RNA (520 nucleotides) under uncultured Glomus. RNAcentral's name for it is "SSU rRNA". It matches the Rfam family "Eukaryotic small subunit ribosomal RNA", at positions 569 to 1090 of the family's 1831-position model. Lineage: Eukaryota; Fungi; Glomeromycota; Glomeromycetes; Glomerales; Glomeraceae. The record is from RNAcentral.